Fukomys damarensis (Damara mole-rat) is the source of this 2432-nucleotide long non-coding RNA. The record is from Ensembl. NCBI's taxonomy places the organism in Eukaryota, Metazoa, Chordata, Mammalia, Rodentia, Bathyergidae.
GACCUCAAAGCACAUACGCCAAGCAAGGGCUCUGCCCCUGGACCGCAUCGCUGGGGACUGUUGUAGACAGCUGUUAAUAGUCACCCGCUGUCCAUGCAGCUGAUAUUCUGGUUUAAGAACCAGAACUACUGAGCUGAGCACCAGGAACCACGUCUCCUACUACCAGAGUCUUGUACGCAUUCCUCAUGAAGCUGCUUUUUCUGAUUACAACAUCUCACUGGGCCUCUUUGCAGUUUUCUGAGUCAUAAAACCAUUGAUUCUUCUAAAUGAUCCACGAAGGAACUUCUGGUCUUGAUUUGCUUUCUCAUGUGAGUAGCAGCACCCAGAUGCUGCCGUUUGUACGAUCAAGAAGCAAAUGUGCCUAUGGGAGGGGCACUGGGCGAGGCACUGGAAGACCCAGCUUCCCGUCUGGAUCAGCCACUUGCUGGACAACAGAGGCCUCACCUGGCUUUUGGCCUCCCUCUUCCCACGAUCACAUGAACAGCAGGUCUGUUCAGAGUUGCUCCUGAAUGCGAAAGCCAGCAAAGGCCAAGAGGCCACACUGAAGCCCCUGAGAAUCUCUGCAGAGCCGGGUCCCUACGAAGCCAGUUGUUUGCAGCAGUGGGGUGUUGGGAAGGCUCCGGACUCCACGGGAGGAGAAACGUUUCUGUGCAGUAAAGAAGGCGAUGAAAGGUAAGGGGAUACUAACAAUAAAUCCAGGGCUCAGUUCAGUGGUGUGUUUGUGUUCGCCUUCAGUCCAGGGCCGCCCUGGCCUUUUCCAGCCCAGGUCUGUCCCGGUCUGUCCACUUGCUCUGCACAAAGCCACCUGUGUUUUGGUGUUACAAGGGUCUCCCUGAUUCUGUGCUCCGGGAGAUGCUCUGCCCCUUCUGCCUCCCGAGGCCAUUGUGGAAGAACAUCAAGGAGCACAGACAAAGCGAGGACCCCAGUGUGGGACGCAGGCUGGCUGACACACGCCAGCAGAGGUGUCGGCACGCUGGAGGACCCGAGGGAGGGGACCCCGAACUCCAGGAGCAGCUGGUCCUUCCUCAGCAGUGCCCCUGCGGUGCUCAGAAGAGCCCCAGUGAGAACCUGCUUGUCCUGGAGGAGAGGGAAUUGAAAAGACACCUCACCCCGAGGACUCCCGGCUUGUGGUGGAAAAUUCUCUCUGAAACCGGAAGCAGCUAUAGAAUCAGCAGCAGAGCCUCCAGAAGCACCGAGUCCAGUGGUUACCAGAUGAAGCUCCCAUCUUGUACUACAUCUUGAAAGCACAGGUGUGCUGCCCCAGAACUUCAGGAAGUAGUGCAGAUGUUUCUUUGUCAUUAGCAUCACCCUGGUAACAUAAUUAGCAUGUACAGUUAAAGGUGAAGAGUAAUCUUGAAGACAUCAAAUAGUCCUUUUCACAGUGGGAGGCAAGCGGUCGGCUAGGUGGUUCAGAAAAGACUGCCGAACCACUCUGCAUGUUUGAGCUAAUGAGGAGGUCAGGGGUCCGGCAUCAGAAGCAGUUGGUGACGCCACGGAAUGUGACUAUAGACUGUACCCUGUUCACUGCUGCUCUCUCGCAAAGGACACAAAGUUUGCCAAUGUGAUAUCCAAAUGCAACAUGCUAAAAUGAUGAUCACUUAUGUGAAAGCUUGCUCAUAAAUACUACUACACAAAUAUUUAUUGCAGCUUGGAUCAUAAUAACCUUUGCUUUUGUUGCAUUGUGCUUUGUUUGGGAUUUGUUGGCUUCAUUUAAAAAUAAUAAUAAUUCAUUCUUGGCAGGAGCGUGAAUCUGAGGGUUUUGGCAAAUGCAAAGAGUCACUAAAGUACCACCACAGUCAUGACCUGGAGUGGUUUCAUCCCCUCUCUUGACCCUAGUCUUCCUCGGUCACCUUUAUGUUCUGCCUCUUCUUUGGUUCCCAAGGCCAGCUAGCCGCUGAUCAGCCUCCUGGGUUUUCCAGUGUGCUCUACCGAGGGACCCGUAUGGCACAUGUGCUUUGCCUUUCAGUGUACAGGGCGGUGUGACCUCUCCGCUGAAGGUAUCGGUGGUUUGCUCUUUCUCGCUGCUGAGCGGUGACCCCUGGGCAUUGCCACAGCUUGGUGAAGUUCACUCAGUUGUGUUCCAUUUGGGGCUGGGAUGAUAAAGCUGUGAUGAGCACCAGUGAAAGAUUGUAUGCGAAUGUAAGGUUUCAUGUCACUUACUUAAAUAUAUAGGAGUAGGUUUGCUGGUACGUGUUUGCAACUUUAUACGAAACUACCAAAAUGCACUGUUUUGCCUCCUUACCAGGAAUGUAUAGGAAUUCUAUUUGCUCCACAUGCUGUAUUUAGUAUAAAAUUUUAAAUAGUUAUCACUCUAAAGGGCACGUAAUGGUCCCUGUGUUUUAUUUUGUUUUCUCAAUGAUUGGUGAGGUAAAGCAUCUUUUCACUUACUUACUUGCUGUCUGUAUAUCUUCUGUUGUAAAAUAUCUGUCCAG